AGCGUCCAAGGUGCACCGCAGAUUUGGAUUUCGUAAUACAUGAUGCGUGGUGCUCAGUAUCGGAUUCAUCCGGUUCGACAUGAAAAUCGGCACAAAAAGAUUUUGGGGUUUGUGUUAUUGAUGGCACAAUCAGACCAAGAGAGCUACUCUAACUCUAAUUGGUCAAUCUUUUGCAAUCUAGAAGAAGCCAUUACAAUCAGUUCUGUAGACUAAGCAUCCAAGGCGCACCGCAGAUUUGGAUUUCGUAACACAUGAUGUGUGGUGCCCAGUAUCGGACUCGCCCGGACAUGGAAAUCGGCACAGAAUCGACAAGAAAAUCAGAUUCCCUAACACAUGAUGCGUGGUGCCCAGUAACACAUGAUGCGUGGUGCCCAAUGUUUGAAAAUUCGACUCGACUGGACUCGCCCAGUUCGACAUGAAAAUCGGCACUGAACCGAUAUGGAAAUUGGCACCCCCGUGUCGAAUCCACCAUAUUAUGCAAAAUCGCCUGUGUCUAGAGAGAACCAGGUGAUUCGUAGCAAUAAACUCGGCAGAGUUGCUACAGUGACAUGGUGAUUUCAACAGUUUGGGGUAAAGUACGAAAUUUUUUUAAAAUUGAGGGGCAUUUUUGAUGCCACACGUCAGGCACAUGCAGUGCAUGGGUCUCAAUCAUGCUAAGUAACUAAC
Molecule: long non-coding RNA, 666 nt
Filed under: Amborella trichopoda
Lineage: Eukaryota; Viridiplantae; Streptophyta; Magnoliopsida; Amborellales; Amborellaceae
Description: long non-coding RNA (ATRI_LNC002701)
Source: RNAcentral